RNAcentral lists this transfer RNA (67 nucleotides) under Marmota marmota marmota (Alpine marmot). It matches the Rfam family "tRNA". From Rfam's summary of the family: Transfer RNA (tRNA) molecules are approximately 80 nucleotides in length. Their secondary structure includes four short double-helical elements and three loops (D, anti-codon, and T loops). Lineage: Eukaryota; Metazoa; Chordata; Mammalia; Rodentia; Sciuridae. RNAcentral also lists the same sequence under 1 other name. The record is from Rfam by way of RNAcentral.
GGUUGUAGCUCAGUGGUAGAGUGCUUGCUUUGCAUGCAUGAGGCCCUGGGUUUGAUCCUCAGCACCA